GUGCUUGCUUAGGCAGCACAUACACUAAAAUUAGAAUAAAGAGAACAUUAACACGGCUCCUGCACAAGGAUGACACACAAAUUCAUAAAGUGUUACAUUUUUUU
RNAcentral lists this small nuclear RNA (104 nucleotides) under Moschus moschiferus (Siberian musk deer). Lineage: Eukaryota; Metazoa; Chordata; Mammalia; Artiodactyla; Moschidae. The record is from RNAcentral.